RNAcentral lists this long non-coding RNA (222 nucleotides) under Bos taurus (domestic cattle). RNAcentral describes it as "long non-coding RNA NONBTAT024020". The record is from RNAcentral. Lineage: Eukaryota; Metazoa; Chordata; Mammalia; Artiodactyla; Bovidae.
UCUUAAGAAAGGGAAAACUGGUUAUUUGGAAAAUAAGACCAAAUUAGAUAUUCACCUUACAAACUCAAUGUUUUAUGGCUAAACGUAAAAGAAAACAUCUGAAUGAAGAAGUCUAAGGGAUGGAGGCAGUCACACAAGAAUAAAGAGGUGCACUUAUCUACAUUUAAAUAAAAGUGAAAUAAAUUGCAAAUAUAUAGCAGAAAGGGUUAAUGAGCUCAUUCC